GAUGAAGAACGCAGCGAAAUGCGAUAAGUAAUGUGAAUUGCAGAAUUCAGUGAAUCAUCGAAUCUUUGAACGCACAUUGCGCCCGCCAGUAUUCUGGCGGGCAUGCCUGUCUGAGCGUCAUUUCAACCCUCAAGCAACUUCUGCUUGGUGUUGGGGAUCGGCCGUCAAACGCCGCCCCCGAAAUCUAUUGGCGAUCUCGCUGUAGCUUCCUAUGCGUAGUAGUAACAUCUCGCAUCUGGAGAGCGGCGCGGUCAUGCCGUAAAACACCCAACUUCUCAGGUUGACCUCAAAUCAGGUAGGACUACCCGCUGAACUUAAGCAUAUCAAUAAGCGGAGGA
RNAcentral lists this unclassified non-coding RNA (338 nucleotides) under soil metagenome. Its description in RNAcentral is "partial contains 5.8S ribosomal RNA, internal transcribed spacer 2, and large subunit ribosomal RNA". The stretch from base 1 to 120 matches the Rfam family "5.8S ribosomal RNA", at positions 35 to 154 of the family's 154-position model. The record is from RNAcentral.